GACGAACGCUGGCGGCGUGCUUAACACAUGCAAGUCGAACGGAAAGGCCCUGCUUUUGUGGGGUGCUCGUGUGGCGAACGGGUGAGUAACACGUGAGUAACAUGUCCUUGACUUUGGGAUAACUUCAGGAAACUGGGGCUAAUACCGGAUAGGAGCUCCUGCUGCAUGGUGGGGGUUGGAAAGAUUCGGCGGUUGGGGAUGGACUCGCGGCUUAUCAGCUUGUUGGUGGGGUAGUGGCUUACAAAGGCUUUGACGGGUAGCCGGCCUGAGAGGGUGACCGGCCACAUUGGUACUGCGGUACGGCCCAGACGCCUACGGGACGCAGCAGUGGGGAAUAUUGCACAAUGGGCGGAAGCCUGAUGCAGCAACGCCGCGUUCGUGAUGCCCUCCUUCGGGUUGUAAACCGCUUUCGCCUGUGACGAAGCGAGAGUGACGGUAAUUGGUAAAGAAGCACCGGCUAACUACGUG
Molecule: ribosomal RNA, 468 nt
Filed under: uncultured bacterium
Lineage: Bacteria
Description: partial 16S ribosomal RNA
Rfam family: Bacterial small subunit ribosomal RNA
Source: RNAcentral